AGCAGGCGCGUAAAUUGCCCGAAUCCUGACACAGGGAGGUAGUGACAAGAAAUAACAAUACAGGGCUACUUCUAGUCUUGUAAUUGGAAUGAGUACAACUUACAUCUCUUCACGAGGAUCAAUUGGAGGGCAAGUCUGGUGCCAGCAGCCGCGGUAAUUCCAGCUCCAAUAGCGUAUAUUAAAGUUGUUGCAGUUAAAAAGCUCGUAGUCGGAUUUCGGGUCGGGCCGAGCGGUCUGCCGAUGGGUAUGCACCGUUUGGCGCGGCCUUCUUUCCGGAGACCGCGGCUACUCUUAACUGAGCGGGCGUGGGAGACGGAUCGUUUACUUUGAAAAAAUCAGAGUGUUUCUAGCAGGCAGCUCGCUCUUGCAUAGGUUAGCAUGGGAUAAUUUAAUAGGACUCUGGUGCUAUUUUGUUGGUUUCGAACACCGGAGUAAUGAUUAAAAGGGGCAGUCAGGGGCACUCGUAUUCCGUCGAGAGAGGUGAAAUUCUCAGACCAAUGGAAGACGAACCACUGCGAAAGCAUUUGCCAGGGAUGUUUUCACUGAUCAAGAACGAAAGUUAGGGGAUCGAAGACGAUCAGAUACCGUCGUAGUCUUAACCAUAAACCAUGCCGACUAGGGAUUGGAGGGUGUUCGUUUCGACCUCUUCAGCACCUUACGGGAAACUAAAGUCUUUGGGUUCCGGGGGGAGUAUGGUCGCAAGGCUGAAACUUAAAGGAAUUGACGGAAGGGCACCACCAGGAGUGGAGCCUGCGGCUUAAUUUGACUCAACACGGGGAAACUUACCAGGUCCAGACAUUGUUAGGAUUGACAGAUUGAGAGCUCUUUCUUGAUUCGAUGGGUGGUGGUGCAUGGCCGUUCUUAGUUGGUGGAGUGAUUUGUCUGGUUAAUUCCGUUAACGAACGAGACCGUAGCCUGCUAAAUAGUUCCGCGAACUUCUUGUUGGCGGUCGACUUCUUAGAGG
This 964-nucleotide ribosomal RNA is filed under the name Haptophyta environmental samples. RNAcentral's name for it is "SSU rRNA". It matches the Rfam family "Eukaryotic small subunit ribosomal RNA", at positions 427 to 1417 of the family's 1831-position model. Lineage: Eukaryota; Haptophyta. The record is from RNAcentral.